UUAUAAUAAACGUUGUAGGGCUGGGUACAGUUGUGCAUACCUGUAAUCCUAGCUGCUUUGCAGGCUUAGACAGGAGGAUCUUGACUUCAAGACCAGCCUGGGCAAUAUAGUGAUGUCUCAAAAAAGGAAAAGUUGCAGCUUUGGCAGAAUCUGGGCCUUUGAUUGUGGGAGCAGAGAACAAAUGUGUUUGAUCUUGGGAGAACAGAGGGUUACUGGAAGGCUUCAGGAGACCCGGCACUACAUUGAAUUCUGAUGUCAGGAUUUGAAGGACCACAUGGCAUAUAUGAGGAUCAUGUUGGUUGCCUGCAGAAGCACUUCACUGUCAUUACCAUGAAAGAAUUUUUGGAAAAUAAAAUUCAAUCUAAAGAUUCAAGA
Molecule: long non-coding RNA, 375 nt
Filed under: Cavia porcellus (domestic guinea pig)
Lineage: Eukaryota; Metazoa; Chordata; Mammalia; Rodentia; Caviidae
Description: lncRNA (ENSCPOG00000039142.1)
Source: RNAcentral